AUCAGGCUGACGAGUCCCAAAUAGAACAAAACGCGCGUCCUGGAU
RNAcentral lists this non-coding RNA (45 nucleotides) under Schistosoma mattheei. Lineage: Eukaryota; Metazoa; Platyhelminthes; Trematoda; Strigeidida; Schistosomatidae. The record is from RNAcentral.